This 496-nucleotide ribosomal RNA is filed under the name uncultured bacterium. RNAcentral's name for it is "partial 16S ribosomal RNA". It matches the Rfam family "Bacterial small subunit ribosomal RNA", at positions 29 to 507 of the family's 1533-position model. The record is from RNAcentral.
AUGAACGCUGGCGGCGUGCCUAAUACAUGCAAGUCGAGCGAACGGACGAGGAGCUUGCUCCUCUGACGUUAGCGGCGGACGGGUGAGUAACACGUGGAUAACCUACCUAUAAGACUGGGAUAACUUCGGGAAACCGGAGCUAAUACCGGAUAAUAUAUUGAACCGCAUGGUUCAAUAGUGAAAGACGGUUUUGCUGUCACUUAUAGAUGGAUCCGCGCCGCAUUAGCUAGUUGGUAAGGUAACGGCUUACCAAGGCAACGAUGCGUAGCCGACCUGAGAGGGUGAUCGGCCACACUGGAACUGAGACACGGUCCAGACUCCUACGGGAGGCAGCUGUAGGGAAUCUUCCGCAAUGGGCGAAAGCCUGACGGAGCAACGCCGCGUGAGUGAUGAAGGUCUUCGGAUCGUAAAACUCUGUUAUUAGGGAAGAACAAAUGUGUAAGUAACUAUGCACGUCUUGACGGUACCUAAUCAGAAAGCCACGGCUAACUACGUG